UAUCUUCGGAUAAUAGUAAAGUGGCGAACGGGUGAGUAACGCGUAAAUAACUUGCCUUGGAGAUUGGGACAACAUUGGGAAACCAGUGCUAAUACCAAAUAAUGCAGCGGGCCCUUCGGGGCAUAGUUGUUAAAGUAGGCUUCGGCUUACACUUCAAGAUAGAUUUGCGUCCGAUUAGUUAGUUGGUAGGGUAAUAGCCUACCAAGACCGAGAUCGGUAGCUGGUCUGAGAGGAUGAUCAGCCACACUGGAAUUGAGAUACGGUCCAGACUCCUACGGGAGGCAGCAGUGAGGAAUUUUGCACAAUGGGCGAAAGCCUGAUGCAGCAACACCGCGUGAUUGAUGAAGUUUUUAGGAAUGUAAAAAUCUGUCGUAAGGGAAGAAAUGUUUCGGAUGUUAAUACCAUCUGUUACUGACGGUACCUUACAAGAAAGGACCGGCUAACUUCGUGCCAGCAGCCGCGGUAAUACGAGGGGUCCUAGCGUUGUCCGGAUUUACUGGGCGUAAAGGGUACGUAGGCGUUUUAAUAAGUUGUAUGUUAAAUAUCUUAGCUUAACUAAGAAGGUGCAUACAAAACUGUUAAGAUAGAGUUUGAGAGAGGAACGCAGAAUUCAUGGUGGAGCGGUGACAUGCGUAGAUAUCAUGAGGAAAGUCAAAUGCGAAGGCAGCCUUCUGGCUCAAAACUGACGCUGAGGUACGAAAGCGUGGGGAGCGAACAGGAUUAGAUACCCUGGUAGUCCACGCCGUAAACGAUGAGUAUUUGGUGCUGGGGGAUUCGACCCUUUCAGUGCCGUAGCUAACGCGAUAAA
Molecule: ribosomal RNA, 808 nt
Filed under: Chlorobi bacterium SCGC AAA160-B15
Lineage: Bacteria; Pseudomonadati; Chlorobiota
Description: bacterial SSU rRNA
Rfam family: Bacterial small subunit ribosomal RNA
Source: RNAcentral